AUAUUGGGCAAUGGAGGCAACUCUGACCCAGCCAUGCCGCGUGCAGGAAGAAGGCCUUCUGGGUUGUAAACUGCUUUUGACAGGGAAGAAAAAGAGUGUGCGCACUCCACUGACGGUACCUGUAGAAUAAGCACCGGCUAACUCCGUGCCAGCAGCCGCGGUAAUACGGAGGGUGCAAGCGUUGUCCGGAUUUAUUGGGUUUAAAGGGUGCGUAGGCGGCCUGUUAAGUCAAUGUUGAAAGUUUGCCGCUUAACGGUAAAAAUGGCAAUGAUACUGGCGGGCUUGAGUACAGACGAGGUAGGCGGAAUUGAUAAUGUAGCGGUGAAAUGCAUAGAUAUUAUCAGGAACUCCGAUUGCGAAGGCAGCUUACUAGGCUGUAACUGACGCUGAGGCACGAAAGUGUGGGGAGCAAAC
This 414-nucleotide ribosomal RNA is filed under the name uncultured bacterium. Its description in RNAcentral is "bacterial SSU rRNA". It matches the Rfam family "Bacterial small subunit ribosomal RNA", at positions 361 to 773 of the family's 1533-position model. The record is from RNAcentral.